RNAcentral lists this ribosomal RNA (1242 nucleotides) under metagenome. Its description in RNAcentral is "bacterial LSU rRNA". It matches the Rfam family "Bacterial large subunit ribosomal RNA", at positions 1564 to 2815 of the family's 2925-position model. The record is from RNAcentral.
UGAAUACGAGACGCUAAGGCGUCGAAGUAGUGUAUGUCAUACUUCCAAGAAAAGCUUGCACUGUCAUAGAUAAAAAACGCCUGUACCAUAACCGACACAGGUGGGUAGGUAGAGUAUACUAAGGGGCGCGAGAUAACUCUCUCUAAGGAACUCGGCAAAAUAACUCCGUAACUUCGGGAGAAGGAGUGCCUUAUUCGUAAGGUUGCAAUAACAAGAUCCAAGCGACUGUUUAUCAAAAACACAGGUCUCCGCUAAGUCGUAAGACGAUGUAUGGGGGCUGACGCCUGCCCAGUGCCAGAAGGUUAAAGAAGUUGGUUAGCAAUUGCGAAGCUGAUAACUGAAGCCCUGGUGAACGGCGGCCGUAACAAUAACGGUCCUAAGGUAGCGAAAUUCCUUGUCGGGUAAGUUCCGACCCUCACGAAAGGCGUAAUGAUUUGGAUACUGUCUCGGAGAGGGGCUCGGUGAAAUAGACUUGUCUGUGAAGAUGCGGACUACCUGCACCAGGACAGAAAGACCCUAUGAAGCUUUACUGUAACUUGAAAUUGAAAUUGGACUUUAUUCGCGCAGUAUAGGUGGGAGGCGUUGAUUAUAAUCUUGUGGGAUUAUUGGAGCCAUCAGUGAGAUACCACUCUUGUAAUGUUAGAUUUCUAACUUUGAAUCAUUAUCUGGUCAAAGAACAGUUUCAGGCGGGCAGUUUGACUGGGGCGGUCGCCUCCUAAACGGUAACGGAGGCGUACAAAGGUUUCCUCUGAACGGUUAGAAAUCGUAUCUAGAGUGUAAAGGCAUAAGGAAGCUUGACUGUGAGACCUACAAGUCGAGCAGGGACGAAAGUCGGUCUUAGUGAUCUGACGGUACUGAGUGGAAAGGCCGUCACUCAACGGAUAAAAGUUACUCUAAGGAUAACAGGCUGAUCUCCCCCAAGAGUUCACAUCGACGGGGAGGUUUGGCACCUUGAUGUCGGCUCAUCGCAUCCUGGGGCGGUAGUACGUCCCAAGGGUUGGGCUGUUCGCCCAUGAAAGCGGUACGCGAGCUGGGUUCAGAACGUCGUGAGACAGUUCGGUCCAUAUCCGGUGUAGGCGUUAGAAUAUUGAGAGGAGCCUUCUUUAGUACGAGAGGACCGAGAAGGACAUACCUCUGGUGUACCAGUUAUCGUGCCAACGGUAAACGCUGGGUAGCUAUGUAUGGAGUGGAUGACCGCUGAAAGCAUCUAAGUGGGAAGCCCACCUCAAGAUAAGUAUUCUC